UACGUAGGGUGCGAGCGUUGUCCGGAAUUAUUGGGCGUAAAGGGCUCGUAGGCGGUUUGUCGCGUCGGGAGUGAAAUCCACUGGCUUAACUGGUGGCUUGCUUUCGAUACGGGCAGACUGGAGGUAUGCAGGGGAGAGUGGAAUUCCUGGUGUAGCGGUGAAAUGCGCAGAUAUCAGGAAGAACACCCGUGGCGAAGGCGGCUCUCUGGGACGGUACUGACGCUGAGACGCGAAAGCGUGGGGAGCGAACAGG
This 253-nucleotide ribosomal RNA is filed under the name uncultured bacterium. RNAcentral's name for it is "partial 16S ribosomal RNA". It matches the Rfam family "Bacterial small subunit ribosomal RNA", at positions 524 to 776 of the family's 1533-position model. The record is from RNAcentral.